GCUGAGAGUGAUGAAAGUUAUAGGAAGGAGAACGGGACAUUUAACACAUUCAUCUUCCUUAAAGAACACUCUGGGCACCAUAACAACUUCAUUUAAAUGAAGUUGUUAUGGUGCCAGUAGGUCCCUGGUGCUGACUUACCUGUAGGGGUUAAACCAUUCAUGAGCAGUUUAAACCUAUAGACUCCUUGCCAGCUCUUUUUUACUCGG
This is a non-coding RNA of Pelobates cultripes (western spadefoot toad), 207 nucleotides long. The record is from the annotation of a GenBank genome assembly. Lineage: Eukaryota; Metazoa; Chordata; Amphibia; Anura; Pelobatidae.